Molecule: long non-coding RNA, 3234 nt
Filed under: Mus musculus (house mouse)
Lineage: Eukaryota; Metazoa; Chordata; Mammalia; Rodentia; Muridae
Description: long non-coding RNA chr12:39630531-39633765
Source: RNAcentral
GCUAACUGAAGCCUUAGUGUGUCUAGGAUUUUGGAAAUGAAACUAAGAUCUGUAUGACUUGAUUUUCUUUUCCAAAUUCAACUCCAUAGUCCAUGAUAGUUCAGAUUACAAAGGGUAGCACUUACCCACAAUCAUCACAGCUGAGUCUUUUUUAUUCCCCAAGUGUUGCCUUUUGAAUCUAUCCCAUCUGCUCAACUCUAUUAUGUGAAUUGUUUCCCUCCCUGUUUUAUAGACCCUCACACAGAGUUCAAAUAAGUUAGUUACAAGCUUGUGGAACUGUUUGAUUUUGAUAGAUUGUGAAAGAAAAGCUCUCUAUUCCAAGUGUAUAAAAAAAUAGACAUUCUAAGUAAACAAAUAGUAAGUAUUGCAAACAGAAUGUAAUUUAGCCUCCAUACAACCCUGUAAACUUUUGAGAUGGUAGCAAUCAAAUCAGAUUAACUUAGAAAAUAUUCUAAAUAAGAAAAUAAAAACAAACAAACAAACAAAAAACCCAAAGGCAAUGCAUUUAAAAGGUGAAACAGUGGACCCCAAACCCAAAGAAACAUGAAUGGUACUUUUUCUAAAAGUUUUCUUCCAUAGUCAAACGAACUUACAUCAAGAGCUUUUCUUGGGAACUAAGGUUAAGAAUGUCUACUCUGAUAGAAGACAAAGUCACAGCCCUAUGAAGAAUAUGCUCCUUCCUAGAUGAAAAAAAUAACCAGUGAAAGUUCAGUAAAUACCUUCGAACUAUUAUGGAAUCAAAGUUAACAAAAUAGCACAGACACCUCCAGCCUUAACCUAAAUAAAUCUUCAUGGAAAAGAAUCAGUUCCCAAUACUGCAUCUUGCCUGUAAACUUCGUUUGCCACUCUUCCCCAUUCUCUAAGAUCUAAGGACCAGAAAGAUCUCAGAGCCUUUGCUUUGCCUUCACCCAUGAGCCACAUUCUGACCCCUGUCAGUGUAGAUUGGUACCUGACCCAUGACACACUCACAGAAACACACACAUUUACCACGAGUCUAAUAGGAACACAAGAAGAGGAAAGAAGACGAGAAGUUUCGUGUCUGGGUUUUCUCAAAUAUUUUCUAUCAGCAGUAUUGUGUUCUAGCAAUAUAGCCCUAAAACGUUGUUAUGGUACAUGAUUAGGGAGGGGAAAAAAACUACUAAAACCUUCAUCUAUAGUUUAAAAAAUAAGAAACAAAGCCCUAUAAAAUGUUAAUGAACGAUUUUUACAAGUCUUCUAAGAUUUGUUUUCAUCAAAAUAUAGUUACUCUAAUUAGAAAAUUUAUUGAUAUAUUUGGCAGAUUCUUUAAAAUUCAAAGAUAUAAUUCUAACUGUUGUAUUGUGGAAGUGAUCUAUAGUUCACCAACUAUAAUCACUUGUAAAGUUAAGCAAUGCACUAAAAUUAUGAGAUGAGAAACUCCCUCGUAAUGAAUGUUUGGCGUGUGAUAGCAUGUGGUAUAUAAUGAGGCUUUGUGAAAGGCUUUGCACAUCAACAAGAGUAUGCAGGUUAUCCGAUGCCAGCUUUAUAAUGAGAUUUUUGCAAUAUGUAGGAAGAACAGCAGAGUGCCUGGGUCUACUCUGGAGCCUGAGUAGCUGGAUGCACAGUACACCAUUACCUCCAACUGAGGAACCACAUGGGGCAUAGAACUCACCUUGUCUGCACCCCAGUUUCUCAACGUUAAAACGUGAAUAGUGAAUACUGCAUAAUAGUCACCUUGUGGUACUCUUAGGGGGAUCAUUGAAGGUUUGAAAUGGUACAGGAUGAGAAGUAAUUGCUCCAUAAAUGUUAAGUAUUAUCAUCACUUAGAAGGCUAUGACAAACAUGUCAGAUAUGUAUUUUGUAAUAACUUUCUUGUGGAAAGAAAUAUGCUGUACACUAAUUGUGUUAAGAAAUAUUGGAUACACAUUCUUUGUGAGGAUGUGGUCAUUGGUAGGUUUCCCAUGCUCUAGUUGAAGUCUCAACUCCUACACAUUUCAACAGCACUUAUUCUACUUAGAAUGUUAUUGAAGAAGAAAGAGAGAAGGAAAAGGAGGAGGACAAAGAGUAAGAAGAAAAGGAGGAAGAGGAGGGGAGAAGGAAAAUUAAGUUUGGAGGGAAACUUUGGAUGAAUAUGGAAGUCAUAAGAUGGUAUGAGAGUUAAAAUGAUCAUAUUUCAUGGGAUACAUGUAUAAAAUCUCAAUAAUAAGAAAUUUUGGGGUGUUUUUCUUCUGAAUCUCAGAAGUCUACAUGAGUCUGUUGCUUCUAGGUACCAGGAAACCAAAGUAAGCCCCUUGUGUUUUGAAGUAUAAAGUACUCAGUCAUAUCAUAAUAAAAUUGUUUUAUUUUUAUUUCAGAGAUCUUAGAGAAGACUAAAUGAAAAGUGAUAACAUUCUGGCUAGACUUAAAAAUACCCUUCAUACUCAAGAGCAACAUAUAUAUAUAUAUAUAUACACAUAUAUAUAUAUUAGCACAAGGGGGACAAUCAGCAAUCUUCCUCAGCAAGAUUUGACUUCUUUGGUUAAAAAAAAAACAUUUCUUUGUAUAUUUAUUUAAUGAAUUAGAAGGAAAAGUCUUCAUCACUGAUAGACAUUUCUAAGGACAAUACAUAGUACUUUAUUGUAUGAGAUAUAAUGGAUGGGAUAAUACAUUCUCAUUAAAUUCUUUUAGAAUCAUCACAAUUUUUAUAGCUACCAUGAGUCUCAUAUACACAUUCAAAGUGAAUGACUUUUUAAUAGGUUUAGUUCAUACAGGACAUCAGCGUUGACAGCAUAUGGCCUAAUAACUUCUAGAGAAGUCAGUUUAUACACUCUAUUAGGUGAUUUGCUGUGAUAAUACUAAAAAUUUCUGCUUUUCAUCACUUUAAAACAUGCCAACUGCGAUGCCAGGAAUUAUAUCUAUUCUCUUGGUUAGCACGUUUAUGACUGAUAAAAUGCAGCUAUUUAUCCAAAAUCAGACAACCAGUAAUGGAGACACCCACAAACUGAAGUCUGGGGCCUGUCUCCGGCCAUCAUGUUUGUGAAGGGAACAAGGGCUUAGAUGAGCUUCCUGAUUAAUUUGAACAUGGGUCUGCCUUGAUUUUUCUUUAAACCAUUUGUAGAAUAAGAAUACAUUCUUCUAGCCUUGAAAAUUUCCCCACAAGUCAUGGGAAUAUCCUUUUAAAAACAACAGUGCUGACCUGGGAAUACAAUGUAAACUAUAAAGAACUGUUAUGUAGUUACAAUUUUGUAGACAUAAUUAACAAACUAGAGCUUCCCUUUGUUUUGACAGUGAUUUCUG